UUASAUACCCUGGUAGUCCACGCCCUAAACGAUGGAUGCUAGWUGUUGGAGGGCUUARYCUCUCCAGUAAUGCAGCUAACGCAUUAAGCAUCCCGCCUGGGGAGWACGGUCGCAAGAUUAAAACUCAAAGGAAUAGACGGGGACCCGCACAAGCGGUGKAGCAUGUGGUUUAAUUCGAGGAUACACGAAGAACCUUACCUAGGCUUGACAUUGAGAGAAUCCGCUAGAAAUAGUGGAGUGUCUAGCUUGCUAGACCUUGAAAACAGGUGCUGCACGGMUGYCGUCAGYUCGUGUCGUGAGAUGUUGGGUUAAGUCCCGCAMCGAGCGCAMCCCCCUUUCUUAKUUGCUAACAGGUCWUGCUGAGAACUCUAAGGAUAUGCCUCCGUAAGGAGGAGGAAGGUGGGGACGACGUCAAGUCAUCAUGGCCCUUACGCCUAGGGCUACACACGUGCUACAAUGGGGUGCACAAAGAGAAGCAAUACUGCGAAGUGGAGCCA
RNAcentral lists this ribosomal RNA (497 nucleotides) under Helicobacter pylori. Its description in RNAcentral is "partial 16S ribosomal RNA". It matches the Rfam family "Bacterial small subunit ribosomal RNA", at positions 778 to 1270 of the family's 1533-position model. Lineage: Bacteria; Pseudomonadati; Campylobacterota; Epsilonproteobacteria; Campylobacterales; Helicobacteraceae. The record is from RNAcentral.